This 535-nucleotide ribosomal RNA is filed under the name uncultured bacterium. Its description in RNAcentral is "bacterial SSU rRNA". It matches the Rfam family "Bacterial small subunit ribosomal RNA", at positions 8 to 521 of the family's 1533-position model. The record is from RNAcentral.
AGAGUUUGAUCCUGGCUCAGGACGAACGCUGGCGGCGUGCCUAAUACAUGCAAGUCGAGCGGACCGGAUUGGGGCUUGCCUUGAUUCGGUCAGCGGCGGACGGGUGAGUAACACGUGGGCAACCUGCCCGCAAGACCGGGAUAACUCCGGGAAACCGGAGCUAAUACCGGAUAACACCGAAGACCGCAUGGUCUUCGGUUGAAAGGCGGCCUUUGGGCUGUCACUUGCGGAUGGGCCCGCGGCGCAUUAGCUAGUUGGUGAGGUAACGGCUCACCAAGGCGACGAUGCGUAGCCGGCCUGAGAGGGUGACCGGCCACACUGGGACUGAGACACGGCCCAGACUCCUACGGGAGGCAGCAGUAGGGAAUCUUCCGCAAUGGGCGAAAGCCUGACGGAGCGACGCCGCGUGAGCGAAGAAGGCCUUCGGGUCGUAAAGCUCUGUUGUGAGGGACGAAGGAGCGCUGUUCGAAGAGGGCGGCGCGGUGACGGUACCUCACGAGAAAGCCCCGGCUAACUACGUGCCAGCAGCCGCGGU